This 516-nucleotide ribosomal RNA is filed under the name uncultured bacterium. RNAcentral's name for it is "bacterial SSU rRNA". It matches the Rfam family "Bacterial small subunit ribosomal RNA", at positions 28 to 518 of the family's 1533-position model. The record is from RNAcentral.
GACGAACGCUGGCGGCGUGCUUAACACAUGCAAGUCGAACGGAGAUUAUUAAUGAAGCUUGCGAUUUAAUAAUCUUAGUGGCGGACGGGUGAGUAACGCGUGGGCAACCUACCCAUAAGAGGGGGAUAACAGCUGGAAACGGCUGCUAAUACCGCAUAAACUUUUUAAGACACAUGUUUUAAAAAGGAAAGGUGGCGCAAGCUAUCGCUUAUGGAUGGGCCCGCGUCUGAUUAGCUAGUUGGUGGGGUAACGGCCUACCAAGGCAACGAUCAGUAGCCGGCCUGAGAGGGUGGACGGCCACACUGGGACUGAGACACGGCCCAGACUCCUACGGGAGGCAGCAGUGGGGAAUAUUGCGCAAUGGGGGAAACCCUGACGCAGCGACGCCGCGUGAGCGAAGAAGGCCUUAGGGUUGUAAAGCUCUGUUCUAUGGGACGAAGUCCUUGACUGUGAAUAAUGGUCAAGGUUGACGGUACCAUAGGAGGAAGCCCCGGUAACUACGUGCCAGCAGCCGAC